AUUGAACGCUGGCGGCAGGCUUAACACAUGCAAGUCGAGCGGGGGAAGGUAGCUUGCUACCGGACCUAGCGGCGGACGGGUGAGUAAUGCUUAGGAAUCUGCCUAUUAGUGGGGGACAACAUCUUGAAAGGGAUGCUAAUACCGCAUACGUCCUACGGGAGAAAGCAGGGGAUCUUCGGACCUUGCGCUAAUAGAUGAGCCUAAGUCGGAUUAGCUAGUUGGUGGGGUAAAGGCCUACCAAGGCGACGAUCUGUAGCGGGUCAGAGAGGAAGAUCUGCAACACUGUGAGCGAGACACGGCCCAGACUACUACGAGAGGCAGCAGUGGGGAAUAUUGGACAAUGGGGGGAACCCUGAUCCAGCCAUGCCGCGUGUGUGAAGAAGGCCUUAUGGUUGUAAAGCACUUUAAGCGAGGAGGAGGCUACUUUAGUUAAUACCUAGAGAUAGUGGACGUUACUCGCAGAAUAAGCACCGGCUAACUCUGUGCCAGCCGCCGCGGUAA
RNAcentral lists this ribosomal RNA (501 nucleotides) under uncultured bacterium. RNAcentral's name for it is "partial 16S ribosomal RNA". It matches the Rfam family "Bacterial small subunit ribosomal RNA", at positions 30 to 523 of the family's 1533-position model. The record is from RNAcentral.